GAAGUAAAAGUCGUAACAAGGUUUCCGUAGGUGAACCUGCGGAAGGAUCAUUACCCAGGAGAGGGGGACUUAUAUAAAGGGACAUGACCCGAAUACGUGGGGAUAUAAUUCGUCACGUAUUCGGGCUAUGUCCCUGGAGCCUGCCCACACUCAUGUCUUUUGCGUACAACUUGUUUUCCUCGGGGGGGCUACUCUCCAAUAGGAUCAUCAUACCAACCCUUUUGUAAUUGCAGUCAGCGUCAGAAAAUCAUAUAAUUAUUACAACUUUCAACAACGGAUCUCUUGGUUCUGGCAUCGAUGAAGAACGCAGCGAAAUGCGAUAAGUAGUGUGAAUUGCAGAAUUCAGUGAAUCAUCGAAUCUUUGAACGCACAUUGCGCCCCUUGGUAUUCCAGGGGGCAUGCCUGUUCGAGCGUCAUUUGUACCCUCAAGCUCUGCUUGGUGUUGGGUGUUUGUCUCGCGGUUCUGCGUAGACUCGCCUGAAAACAAUUGGCAGCCGGCACGUUAGCCUGGAGCGCAGCACAUAUUGCGUCUCUUGCUAGUGAAUGUUGGCCCCCAUCAAGUCUAUUUCUUUGCUCUUGACCUCGGAUCAGGUAGGGAUACCCGCUGAACUUAAGCAUAU
This 620-nucleotide ribosomal RNA is filed under the name Auriscalpium sp. MEL 2364900. Its description in RNAcentral is "eukaryotic LSU rRNA". The stretch from base 263 to 416 matches the Rfam family "5.8S ribosomal RNA". The record is from RNAcentral. Lineage: Eukaryota; Fungi; Basidiomycota; Agaricomycetes; Russulales; Auriscalpiaceae.